This is a long non-coding RNA of Bos taurus (domestic cattle), 1032 nucleotides long. NCBI's taxonomy places the organism in Eukaryota, Metazoa, Chordata, Mammalia, Artiodactyla, Bovidae. The record is from Ensembl.
UCUCAGUGCUGCUGCUGCUGCUGCUGCUAAGUCGCUUCAGUCGUGUCCAACUCUAUGCGACCCCAUAGAUGGCAGCCCACCAGGCUCCUCCAUCCCUGGGAUUCUCCAGGCAAGAAUACUGGAGUGGGUUGCCAUUUCCUUCUCAGUGCUGCUGCUGCUGCUAAGUCACUUCAGUCGUGUCCGACUCUGUGCACCCCACAGAUGGCAGCCCACCAGGCUCCCCCAUCCCUGGGAUUCUCCAGGCAAGAAUACUGGAGUAGGUUGCCAUUUCCUUCUCCAAUGCAUGAAAGUGAAAAGUCAAAGUGAAGUCGCUCAGUCAUGUCCGACUCUUAGCGACCUCAUGGACUGCAGCCUACCAGGCUCCUCCAUCCAUGGGAUUUUUUUCCAGGCAAGAGUACUGGAGUGGGGUGCCAUUGCCUUCUCCUUCUCAGUGCUAAAGACCCCUAAAAAUCCCUUUUCAUCUUAACAGUAUAGCUCUAUAUAGUUACUAUCACUGCUUAAUAAUUCUUUAUAUUAAGCUUCCCUGUUUAAAUUACUGUGUAGUUUCCUGUCUUCUGGUUAAACACAGACUGCCCUGGCCCUGCUUCUUUCCUCUUCUGCUGUGGACUCUGCCUGUCUGCAUAGAGGGUACAGCAUGCAUUGCCUAGGCCACAUCAUGAGAGUGGGGAUUAAGAGUCUGUUUUUGCCAUUGUCAAGGUUCACCAGGUCAGUCUCUUUACUUCUGGAAUCCAGUCGGAAAUACCAUUGGACUCCCACACAGACCAGCCUCCAGUUUGCAUUUAUCUAUAAUAAAGCUUUUAGAAGGAGAAAAAUCCAAACUUGUCACAACACGAUCUAUAAGAAUAAAUAAGAAAACGAUGCUCACUCUCCAGACUAAGGGGACUUAAUACCUCGACCCAAGACGGCUGGAACUUGGAAGAAGUUUCUGUGAAGCAGUAGUGAGAUGGGCAGAAUUGGAAGUGUCAUGAGAGAGGGCUGCAAAUACAGCACUUCCUGCUGUACUCAAGCCACCAUCCCAGUGGUCAUACCCAC